CAUGCCAUCUUACUAUAGUUGGUAAAUGAGUGAGGAACUUUUUGUUAUUCUGAGUAAGAAAAUUUUGAUCACAUAGCUAGUAGUAACUAAAGAGAGUUCAGUUAGUUAUCUUAGUUAAGUUCAAUUUCUAAAUUUUAGUUAACUUAAAUUAAGCUCAAUUUUUAUUUUUGUUUCAGUUCAAUAAAACAGAAAUUGGAGGUUCAGAUAUGGCACCGAGAUAGGUUCAAAAAAAUGGGGGCAACAACAACGGCAGUAACAACAUCGAAGAGCUGGAGAUGAGCAAGUUAGGUACUCGCAAUGAUACGUCGUCCCACGCUGGUGUGUGGGUAGAGCGUCGGUGUGGUGGGGUGAGGAGAGAAGUUGGUGGUGGCAGAGGUGAGGGGAACCAGCGGCGCAGUGGUAGCAGCGGGAAGGGGGCGGUGGUGGAGGGACGGAGUGUCGCUCUGCAUGUUGGAGAGUAAACUGUAGUAGGACACCUCUGCCCCGCCGCCAACGCGCAUCCCCACCACUGUCGCCAACCUCACGCGCCGGCCUGCAUCCCCUCCCCACUCAUGGACGUCAAGUUCAGGUUGCAGCAAAAACAAGAUGCACAAGUUCAUCUUUUGUAUGCUUUUCAGUUCAUCUACUUUCGAUGGAGUGUUUUUGUUUCUGUAGGUCAGCUGCUCAACAUUCUUGUACCGCUCAGUACAUGUAUUACUACUGGGAAGGUUCAAAAAUCAGAACUCAACAAGUUCAACAUGGUGUAUGCCCCGACAUGAGAUCAUCGAGAGGGUGCACCACGGCGUCAUGGACUACAUCAAGCACGCGCUCACCCUCUUCACCGACUUUGCCGCCAUCCUCAUCAUCAUGAACGCAGGCGACAAUUUCGAGGACAAGAAGAAGAGGAGGAGGAGGUCCUGAGAGUGUCAUAUGUGCAUCUAUUUUUUUGUUUCAAAAGUAGAAGCGGAAGAUGUAGAGGGUGGACUACUCAGGGCGAUUGCUGCUGAUGUUGUGUUGUGUUAGGUCAGCAAGUAGUGCUAAAAUUAUUUUUCAGGAAGAGAAGGCAGCGAGAAGAUGUUCCAGGUGACACGCCCUUCCAUCAAAACAAAACGUUCAAACAUAGCAAGAAGUCGGCAGAAAAAGAUGUGAACAUAGUAUGAUGUCUUGUUUUUGUUAUUGUUACUCGAUGUCUCCAUUUCCUUUUUUCUCUUAAGUUUUCUUAUAGGGAAGGUUCUUGUAAUUACUAGUUGUUUGAUUGUGUGAUGCAGCCGCUUACUUGAUGUCAUUGUCAUUGUUCUUGUAGUUGCAUAUACGAAAGUGUGUGCUUGGUUUGGUUCCAUUUAUCUCUCUCUCUCUCUCUCAUGCCUUCCCUUUUGAUCUUAUAGGAACUGAGGCUAUUCCAAGGAACAAGACCGGUAACAACUAGCGCAAAGGAGACUAUGUCUAGAGGUGGCGCUGCUAGACUUGUUGAUGUGUAGUUAUGACAUAAAAAGCUGAAAAUUAUUGUAUAUUGUAUAAUUCCAUAAGCUGUACGUAGCAAAUCUGUCCAUGUGGAUCAGUACAACUUAUGUACAGCCUUAAAUUCACAAAUCUUAUAGUCAUCUUUGUAGUAUUCUUCAUGACACUUUGUAAAGCAAGAGUGGCCCAUUUUCUGUAAGCAACAAUUCAAACGUAUCUAUUGUAUCAGUUCUUAAGAUUAUAGAAGAAA
This is a long non-coding RNA of Triticum aestivum (bread wheat), 1687 nucleotides long. RefSeq lists it as uncharacterized. The transcript has 4 exons. NCBI's taxonomy places the organism in Eukaryota, Viridiplantae, Streptophyta, Magnoliopsida, Poales, Poaceae. The record is from RefSeq and is a predicted model, not a curated record.